UGAAAUACGUUCACUGCCGCCACCGCCACCGCCACUGCCACCGCCUCCCACAUCUUGCACACUUUCAAAAUAAAGGCUCCAAGAAGUGUCCAAUGGACCGUAAGAACCCUCUUUUGUGCAUUUUCAUCUGGGCUUCCUUACCAGAGGAGCAAGGACUUUGUUCAGCAAACAGACUCUAAAUAGUCUGGAAAAUAGCUUCUGCCAGGCAUGUGUUGAACUUGUGGAAAGAAACGCUGGGCUGCAAUCUGCCAGGGUUUCUUUGUGUUGCCCUGGCUGUCUUGGAACUCACAGAGAUCUGCCUGCUGGGAUUAAUUCCAAAUUCUGGGAUUAAAGAUGACACUUCAGUGGUGCAAUGAGAUCACAUGGUAUUUUCAGGAUCCCAAGAGUAAGGAUUCCUGGGAUCACAGACUGUCAUAUUG
This 419-nucleotide long non-coding RNA is filed under the name Cricetulus griseus (Chinese hamster). RNAcentral's name for it is "lncRNA (ENSCGRG00015037280.1)". The record is from RNAcentral. Lineage: Eukaryota; Metazoa; Chordata; Mammalia; Rodentia; Cricetidae.